UGCCGGAGAAUUGGAAAGUGGAAAUGCAGGAGAGCCAGCUAAAUUGAUUAGGCAAAGGUACAGAGAGGCAGCUGAAAUCAUCAGGAAAGGAAACAUGUGUUGUCUCUUCAUCAACGAUCUCGAUGCAGGAGCUGGUAGAAUGGGUGGAACUACCCAAUACACCGUCAACAACCAGAUGGUGAAUGCCACCCUCAUGAACAUUGCUGACAACCCAACAAAUGUCCAGCUCCCUGGUAUGUACAACAAGCAAGAGAACGCCAGGGUACCCAUUAUUGUCACUGGUAACGACUUCUCCACAUUGUAUGCUCCUCUUAUCCG
RNAcentral lists this unclassified non-coding RNA (318 nucleotides) under Hevea brasiliensis (rubber tree). Lineage: Eukaryota; Viridiplantae; Streptophyta; Magnoliopsida; Malpighiales; Euphorbiaceae. The record is from RNAcentral.